This 253-nucleotide ribosomal RNA is filed under the name uncultured bacterium. RNAcentral's name for it is "partial 16S ribosomal RNA". It matches the Rfam family "Bacterial small subunit ribosomal RNA", at positions 524 to 776 of the family's 1533-position model. The record is from RNAcentral.
UACGAAGGUGGCAAGCGUUGUUCGGAUUUACUGGGCGUACAGGGAGCGUAGGCGGUUGGGUAAGCCCUCCGUGAAAUCUCCGGGCCUAACCCGGAAAGUGCGGAGGGGACUGCUCGGCUAGAGGAUGGGAGAGGAGCGCGGAAUUCCCGGUGUAGCGGUGAAAUGCGUAGAUAUCGGAAGGAACACCUGUGGCGAAAGCGGCUCACUGGACCAUUACUGACGCUGAUGCACGAAAGCUAGGGGAGCAAACAGG